GGCUUCGGCCCGAGUUGUAAUUUGUAGAGGAUGCUUUUGGUGAGGUGCCUUCUGAGUUCCCUGGAACGGGACGCCAGAGAGGGUGAGAGCCCCGUAUAGUCGGCCACCGAUCCUCUGUAAAGCUCCUUCGACGAGUCGAGUAGUUUGGGAAUGCUGCUCAAAAUGGGAGGUAUAUCUCUUCUAAAGCUAAAUAUUGGCCAGAGACCGAUAGCGCACAAGUAGAGUGAUCGAAAGAUGAAAAGCACUUUGAAAAGAGGGUUAAAUAGCACGUGAAAUUGUUGAAAGGGAAGCGCUUGUGACCAGACUUGUGCCGGGCUGAUCAUCCAGUGUUCUCACUGGUGCACUCGACCCGGCUCAGGCCAGCGUCGGUUCUCGCGGGGGGAUAAAAGCUUCGGGAACGUGGCACCUCCGGGUGUGUUAUAGCCCGUUGCU
Molecule: ribosomal RNA, 432 nt
Filed under: Coniochaeta fasciculata
Lineage: Eukaryota; Fungi; Ascomycota; Sordariomycetes; Coniochaetales; Coniochaetaceae
Description: eukaryotic LSU rRNA
Rfam family: Eukaryotic large subunit ribosomal RNA
Source: RNAcentral